CCUACACUCCUACGGGAGGCAGCAGUGGGGAAUUUUGGACAAUGGGCGAAAGCCUGAUCCAGCAAUGCCGCGUGAGUGAAGAAGGCCUUCGGGUUGUAAAGCUCUUUUGUCAGGGAAGAAACGGUGAAAGCUAAUAUCUUUUGCUAAUGACGGUACCUGAAGAAUAAGCACCGGCUAACUACGUGCCAGCAGCCGCGGUAAUACGUAGGGUGCAAGCGUUAAUCGGAAUUACUGGGCGUAAAGCGUGCGCAGGCGGUUUUGUAAGUCUGAUGUGAAAUCCCCGGGCUCAACCUGGGAAUUGCAUUGGAGACGGCAAGGCUAGAAUCUGGCAGAGGGGGGUAGAAUUCCACGUGUAGCAGUGAAAUGCGUAGAUAUGUGGAGGAACACCGAUGGCGAAGGCAGCCCCCUGGGUCAAGAUUGACGCUCAUGCACGAAAGCGUGGGGAGCAAACAGGAUUAGAAACCCCUGUAGUCCCAU
RNAcentral lists this ribosomal RNA (477 nucleotides) under uncultured organism. Its description in RNAcentral is "partial 16S ribosomal RNA". It matches the Rfam family "Bacterial small subunit ribosomal RNA", at positions 330 to 798 of the family's 1533-position model. The record is from RNAcentral.